AUUCCAGCAGAAGAGAUCAGACUCUUCAGGACUCAACUGUGUGUUUGUGCAAACUUUAAUAAUUUUCAAAGAUGGAGACCCCUGAUCUGGACACAGAUAAUGUUUCCCCACACUCAAAAACCAGUAAACUCCAGGGAGAGAGAUCAGAAUCACCAGCACCCAGCUGUAUCUCCAUGAAGAGUGAUCAGUCUAUGGAACCUCCUCUGGAGUUUAAAGAUGGAGACUCCUCACUUCUACACAGUGUUCUACAGAGAGCAGGAGACAGAAUAGAAAAGAACAUCAUCACAGAUACAGGG
Molecule: RNA transcript, 296 nt
Organism: Ictalurus punctatus (channel catfish)
Lineage: Eukaryota; Metazoa; Chordata; Actinopteri; Siluriformes; Ictaluridae
Exons: 3
Source: RefSeq, a predicted model, not a curated record